Molecule: ribosomal RNA, 253 nt
Filed under: uncultured bacterium
Lineage: Bacteria
Description: partial 16S ribosomal RNA
Rfam family: Bacterial small subunit ribosomal RNA
Source: RNAcentral
UACAGGGGGUGCAAACGUUGCUCGGAAUCAUUGGGCGUAAAGCGCGCGUAGGCGGCCCGGUAAGUCCGCUGUAAAAGUCAAAGGCUCAACCUUUGAAUGUCAGUGGAUACUGCCGGGCUAGAGUCCGGAAGAGGCGAGUGGAAUUCCUGGUGUAGCGGUGGAAUGCGCAGAUAUCAGGAGGAACACCAACGGCGAAGGCAGCUCGCUAGGACGGUACUGACGCUAAGGCGCGAAAGCGUGGGGAGCGAACAGG